AACUUGAGUGGGUGUACCCCGAAAUGCAUUUACCAGUCUACUGUCACCUGUCUCCUCGAAUGGAGGAGUGAUACAGGUGCUGUGGGAUGCACACUGUCUGCAGUUUCCUGUCUACGCAGUGAGGAAGCUGAUUGUUUCUUCUUAAAGUUAACUGCCAGGGAUUGUUUUCCUUCAGCAAGACAACUGGGAGCCAAAGUCGUGCUUUCCGGAAUUAACUCUCAGCUGAUACCCUGACGAUCGCUGAUUCCCGUCACCAAGUCCAGAGACCGUGUCGAUGUAUUGCUCCUGGAUCAUGAAGGCUGCCAAAUUGGCUGUGUAGGAAGCCAGGAAGAUGACAGCGAAGAAAGCCCAGACCAGGACCAUGAUCUUACUGGUGGUGCCCUUUGGAUUCUCAAUGGGGACUGAGUUGUUGAAGACAAUUCCCCACAGCAGCCACACAGACUUCCCAAUAGUGAAGGUUGGACCUCCGGGAUCUAGGGAGGACAAAGCCAAGAGGGGAC
Molecule: long non-coding RNA, 500 nt
Organism: Etheostoma spectabile (orangethroat darter)
Lineage: Eukaryota; Metazoa; Chordata; Actinopteri; Perciformes; Percidae
Exons: 4
Source: RefSeq, a predicted model, not a curated record